Long non-coding RNA from Bos taurus (domestic cattle), 1589 nucleotides. NCBI's taxonomy places the organism in Eukaryota, Metazoa, Chordata, Mammalia, Artiodactyla, Bovidae. The record is from Ensembl.
AAGCCCCACCUAGAGGAACACAGGUGAAAUGAAUUAAGCUAGUUUUCCAGUAAAGAGAGAGAGAAACCAGGAAGGGGAUAACACAUUUCUUUAGCUUCUUCCUCUGCUGAAGGAAACUUACACUGUGAGAAGAGGCUAUGUGGUCUUUUGCAACGAUGCAGCCUUAGACUAAGGGCUUGAGAGGUGUGGGAUAAAAGUCUGGGACAUCUUGAGUCAAGCUAUUUUAAACUUUUGUCAGAAAAAGUGCCUUAGAAAUCCCCGCUUACAGCAAGUAUCAAAUCCUGCGAGACUGGAGCACCACCUGAACUUGGCCUUCUUCCUACGUGUGGUUUGCCAGUGGCUCUGUGACAAGUACAAGACCUGGAAGAAACCUCCAUCCUCAAAGACUUGGAAAAGGCUGUCCUGGAGCCUGCGUGGAGGUUACAAAAAUCAUCCCUCUGGUGGUGGCCUGAGCAGAUUACUUCAACCCCAAUGUUGCCCUGAACGUUGCAUUCAAGAUUUGAGAAGAUUAGGACUGCUAAGAAAUGGUAUAGACCUAACAGAAGCAGAAGAUAUUAAGAAGAGGUGGCAAGAAUACAGAGAACUCUACAAAAAUGAUCUUCAUGACCCAGAUAACCAUAAUGGUGUGAUCACUCACCUAGAGCCAGACAUCCUAGAAUGCAAAGUCAAGUGGGCCUUAGGAAGCAUCACUAUGAACAAAGCUAGUGGAGGUGAUGGAAUUCCAGUUGAGCUAUUACAAAUCCAAAAAGAUGAUGCCGUGAAAGAAUUGCGUUCAGUAUUCCAGCAAAUAUGGAAAACACAGCAGUGGCUACCGGACUGGAAAAGGUCAGUUUUGAUUCUAAUCCCAAAGAAAGGCAAUGCCAAAGAAUGUUCAAACUACUGCACAAAUGCAUUAAUCUCAUAUGCUAGCAAAGUAAUGCUCAAAAUUUUCAAGCCAGGCUUCAAUAGUACAUGAAACAUGAACUUCCAGAUGUUCCAACUGGAUUUAGAAAAGGCAGAGGAACCAGAGAUAAAAAUUGCCAACAUCCAUUGGAUUAUGGAAAAGCAAGAGAAUUCCAGAAAACAUCUAUUUCUGCUUUAUAGACUAUGCGAAAGCCUUUGACUGUGUGGAUUACAACAAACUGUGGAAAAUGUUUAAAGGGACGAAAAUACCAGAGUCCACCUGACCUUCAUUCUGAGAAAUCUGUAUGCAGGUCAGGAAACAACAGUUAGAACUGGACAUAGAACAACAGACUGGUUCCAUAUUGGGAAAGGAGUACAUCAAGGCUGUAUAUUGUCAACCUGCUUAUUUAACUUAUAUGCAGAGUACAUCAUGAGAAAUGCUGGGCUGGAUGCAGCACAAGCUGGAAUCAAGAUUGCCGGGAGAAAUAUCAAUAACUUCAGAUAGGCAGAUGACACCACCCUUAUGGCAGAAAGCGAAGAAGAACUAAAGAACGUCUUGAUGUAAGUGAAAGAAGCGAGUGAAAAAGUUGGCUUGAAACUCAACAUUCAGCAAACUAAGAUCAUAGCAUCUGGAAACAGUGGCUGACUAUUCUCUUGGCUUCAAAAUCACUGCAGAUAGUGACUGCAGCCAUGAAAUUGAAAAAUGC